CCUACGGGAGGCAGCAGUAAGGAAUAUUGGUCAAUGGGCGAAAGCCUGAACCAGCCAUGCCGCGUGCAGGAUGAAGGCCCUCUGGGUUGUAAACUGCUUUUAUCAGGGAAUAAACCUCUGGAUUCACUCCGGAGCUGAAGGUACCUGAAGAAUAAGCACCGGCUAACUCCGUGCCAGCAGCCGCGGUAAU
RNAcentral lists this ribosomal RNA (190 nucleotides) under uncultured Saprospiraceae bacterium. Its description in RNAcentral is "partial 16S ribosomal RNA". It matches the Rfam family "Bacterial small subunit ribosomal RNA", at positions 338 to 524 of the family's 1533-position model. Lineage: Bacteria; Pseudomonadati; Bacteroidota; Saprospiria; Saprospirales; Saprospiraceae. The record is from RNAcentral.